AGACCCCUGUUUAUCUUCCAACAACAACAACAACAACAAAACAUAAUUAUUGUUACAGUUUUCAUUACAUUUACUGUUGAAUCAACUAUAGUCACCAUGAUAAUUUUCGUAAGGACUAUUUACAUAACCAGAGACUGACUGGGGGAACAGUUUGAUGGACAGUUAAUGAGGCUCGCGCGGAGAGGGCCUCACGAGGCACCUCAUUCAUAAGCGCGCGGUAUCAGCCGUCCCCUCAUGAGAGACAGACAUUAAACCCAGCCUUAACCCCCAGCCUUUAGUAGCCGCUGAAACACUCAGGAUGAACCUAUUCCAAAUCACGAAGGGAUCAGCAGGAGAUUAAUAAUGCUCAAUGCGUCUUAACGACUGCGCAGAAGAGACCUCUCCCCCAGUACUGUUGAUGUGCUCAUCUUACCUCGUUAUUAGACGAGCCACACAUCUAAUUGUGACGGUCGUUCUCGAUAAACAGCGUAAAUCUUCCUAUUAGCCUACGUCAAAGUAUUCAAAAUGAACAAAGAUUCUACUUUUUCUAUAGGAUACUAUUAUAUUAGGAUAUAUUAUAAUAGUUAGAAACGUUUAACGAUUUCUCUUUCUCUUUUCGUUUUGUACACCAUCAUGACAUGAUCAUGAAGUGGCUGAAAAAGUGUAUCACUAAAGGCCCUCCCUUGAUUUUAUUUAAAGAUGUAAGGUAGCAAUUAAACGUAGCUUGUCAGUUUUGGUGUCUUGAAUGUUUUACGGUGUACUUUGAUGCUGUCGUUUGUUCUGCGCGCAUUCUUUCAAGGUAAACGGAAUUUGAGUCUUCACGUUUAGAAGCAGGCAGAGAUAACUCAAGAAUGCUUAGAGGCGAGCUGGGGAAUGCGGAGCUGGAGUCAGGCUAAUCUGUGAGCGCAGAGAGACUGGCUCCUGUCUGCCUGUCUGCCAGGCCUCUAUCUGUGCGUCUCAGUUCACACCCUCCCUCCCUCCGUAUCUCUACUGCAGUGCUGGGGCACAGCAUGGGAUUCAACUGGCCUCCACAGGGCCACAAACUACUAGUGCACACUCAGAAAUCUAAAUCAGCUCUGCUAUAUAUGGGGGACAAGCAUCCAACAUACACUUGUGAGUUUUACAUAAUCUGUACCAACAGACAUAAUCGAAUAUAUGCACACUAACAUUUGUAUGUUCUAUCAGAAAUGUGAAUUGAAGAGUUGAUUCUAAAUCAAUGUUAUUGUUUUAAUAAUAAAAUGUAUAAUAAUAAUAAUGAUAAUUAUUAUUAUUUAAUAAUUAUUAUAAUUACAAAUCUAAUUAAUAAAAAUAUUAAUAUUAUUAAAUAAUAAUGGUAUUUAUGUAUAUUUUUAAUCAAUUUGAUUUUAACAUUUGUUUUGAGAUUGGAACCAUUAUUGCUGCACCACUUAUUGAAAAAAGGUUCAGAUUUAUUUAAUUAUUCAUUUAUGAAUGAAUGAAUGAAUGAAUGAAUGAAUGAAUGGAUGAAUGAAUGAAGGAAUGAAAGUAAUACUUUUAUUCGGCAAGGCCAUUGAAAUUAAUUCCAAAGUUAAAGUAAAGACAUUUAUAAUGUUAGAAAACUAUUUUAUUUCAAAUAAAUUAUUUCAUUUUAAACUUUCUAAGCAAUAAACAGUUCUGAAUAAAAGAAUCAUGAUUUCCACAAAAAUAAUAAGCAGAUUCAGCCCUGAUAAUAAUAAUUAUCAUUGAUAAUAAUCUGGUAAUAAUUCUUAUUAUUUGAGCAUAUUGAUCAUGUGACACUAAAGACUGGAGCAAUGGCUGCUGAAAAUUUUUUUCUUUGCCAUCACAGGAAAAAAAAAGUCAUUUUAAAAUAUAUAAUAUUAGAAUAUGGUUAUUUUAAAUUCAUAAUAUUUCAUAUAAUAAAUCAAUGAUAUUUCAUAAAAUAACUAUUUGUAUUGUAUUUUUAAUCAAAUAAAUGCAGCUUUAGUGAGCAUAAGAGACUUAUACAAAAACAUAAAAAACUUACCAACCACAAACUUUUAAUCACUUUUAAUUUCUCUUUUAGUCUGCAAAUUCACUUUAGGGAUGAAUAUUUCUUAUUUUUGAUGUAAAUUUAAAGUCAGAGAUUUUAAUGUGGACUUUUAGAUCCCACUUUAUUCUGCAAAAUAUGACAUGCAUGGAGGUGGUCAGACUACAUGACUCAAAUGUAUCACAGAUAAUAUAAAAUCUGUGUACUUUAUCAACAGAGAAAUCAGCUUUGUAAAACCAAAUACCCUUCUUUUUGUAAACAGCCCACUAAUAUGUAAUAUAAAUGCAACUGCGACAAAGUGUAGGACAAGAGAAAAUGUCUGCAAUCUUUCCAAGCCCACUCACUCAUUCCACUAAAAACUGCUCAUCAGGAAACUGCUUGAUAAAAUCAAUACAACACCAAUAUGUUCCCUACUAAAUGCCUUUCAAUUAAGAUCAAGGGCGCUCAUGUGUUAAUGGGCAGUUUAUGUGUUAGUGUACUGGCACAACAUCAAGGCAGCUUCAUACAGCGGCUCAGUAGGAUUAAGUAAUGCAGUGCUAUGUGUAGUCUAUGUAUAGAGGAAGUUCCUCUCCCUUUCUAAACAACUAGAAAUGUGUAACUGAAUAGCACACAGACUGAAGCUGCUCUUCUGGGUGUGAGGGUUGUGAAUGUGGGCCAGAAUCGAGGUCAGCGCGGGGUGAUUCCGUGUCAGACAGGUAUGGCACUCGUGACUGGGUGGGUCACAUAUCCCAGCCAAAGAAUCUCAUUUUUAACUGUGUCUUUGAGUACAUAUGCUGUAUUUGCAGUAUUGAGCAUUUGCAGUACACAUCUGCAGUCUCCGACCCUGCUUUGUGUGUGUGUGUGUAAGGUAAACAAGUCAAACAUGACAUAUAUUUAGUCAAAAAAAUUUAACAAAGUCCUAGUCUGCACAAAAGCCACACUCUUAUUCUGUUCUUUCUUCAUUUUCAAAAGGCAAACAGCCAGGAUCCCUUGAAGGAGAUAAGCCUGUGUAUACCGGAUGUAGUGGCGAAUAGAUAUGAUUAUGAAUGGAUAUGAAGUACGCAACCUCUCUACAAUACGACUAACCUCCCAUGAUACUCCAUGCAUCCGACCAUAAUUCAUCAACCAUUCACUACUGUACAUGACAAGAUUGUCGUCUAUGACUGUGGGCAGCUUAAGGAAUGUAAACAAAGGUUGUCUAGUGUUUUGUAGGUUACAUAUUGCACGUAGUGCAUUAAUUAUAAGAGGUUAAUGUAAAGUAAUGCAACACAUCCUUCAUUCGAACUAUGAAUGUCCAAAUGUUUUGUGACUGUGCAUGUAAAAGAUAAAUUUUGCCAAUUAUUGAAGGAGAAAUGUCUGCCAAGUAUUGAAGGAGAAAAUUGAGAAAAAU
Molecule: long non-coding RNA, 3332 nt
Organism: Cyprinus carpio carpio
Lineage: Eukaryota; Metazoa; Chordata; Actinopteri; Cypriniformes; Cyprinidae
Source: Ensembl